UACAGAGGUCUCAAGCGUUGUUCGGAUUCAUUGGGCGUAAAGGGUGCGUAGGUGGCGCGGUAAGUCGGGUGUGAAAUUUCGGAGCUUAACUCCGAAACUGCAUUCGAUACUGCCGUGCUUGAGGACUGGAGAGGAGACUGGAAUUUACGGUGUAGCAGUGAAAUGCGUAGAGAUCGUAAAGAAGACCAGUGGCGAAGGCGGGUCUCUGGACAGUUCCUGACACUGAGGCACGAAGGCCAGGGGAGCAAACGGG
RNAcentral lists this ribosomal RNA (253 nucleotides) under uncultured bacterium. Its description in RNAcentral is "partial 16S ribosomal RNA". It matches the Rfam family "Bacterial small subunit ribosomal RNA", at positions 524 to 776 of the family's 1533-position model. The record is from RNAcentral.